RNAcentral lists this ribosomal RNA (187 nucleotides) under uncultured bacterium. Its description in RNAcentral is "partial 16S ribosomal RNA". It matches the Rfam family "Bacterial small subunit ribosomal RNA", at positions 1314 to 1500 of the family's 1533-position model. The record is from RNAcentral.
GCCUGCAUGAAGUCGGAAUUGCUAGUAAUCGUAGGUCAGCAUACUACGGUGAAUACGUUCCCGGGCCUUGUACACACCGCCCGUCAAACCAUGAGAGUUGGCAACACCCGAAGUCGGUAGUCUAACCGCAAGGAGGACGCCGCCGAAGGUGGGGUUGAUGAUUAGGGUUAAGUCGUAACAAGGUAAC